AUGGACAGGGGAGGCCCGGCCCCUUUCUCUACGGACAGGAGCAGGCAGGGCUUGGACUGGACCAGGGGAGGCCUGGCGGUGGGGGUGAUGGUGCUCUUCCUCCUCCUCCUCCUCCUCCUCCCGCAUCCCCUUUUUCUCCCUCGGACCCUCUUGGCACUCCGUCCAGGCUUUGCCCUGUUUUGGCAACCUUCCCCCGCCCUGCCGCCCACCAGCGGUGGUGGAGGCCGUCCUCUGCCCACGGCCUCUGAUGCCCCAGAACAUCUUCUCGUGGGUGUGUGGGUGGGGGUGGGAGGGAAAAGGGGGCAGGGCAGGCCUCUGCCUUCUCAGGAGGAGGACAGUAAAGAUGCCCGCCUGGGCUUUCCCACCGGCUCUUGCUGCUGCCCGUCUCGUCCUUUUGCAAGCUGGCGGGUGGGGAGCCUCAGCCCUGGGGCCCGCUCGCACCCGACGGCCAUCCCUGCCUGGCCCACUCGGCUUCCCCAGUCCUGCGUCGUUUCCUCCUCCCAGCUUUUGCAAACCCUCUCAAAGGUCAAGACCUCUCCCUCAGGCUUCCUUCCGGACAGGGAAGAGACCAGAACUGGAAAUGUGCUGGACGUUGGGGGGGGGAGACCAAGGAGGGGGUGGCUGGCUGGCUGGCUCUGCUUCUCCACCAGGCAGGGGUGUUUGCAUGGCAACAAGGAAAGGCAGGCGACCAAAACAGGCUUGCCCGUGCGUGCGCGUGGUCGUCUCCAGAAAAGCCACGGCUGCCUUCUGUGCCUGCCAUCUGUUGGCACUAGCUGCAGAAAUGGCGGGCAAAAGGGAGCCGCCCCUUCCUCUUCGCCCCCCCCCACACACCCACACACCUUGUAUACAACUUUGUCAAGAGGGUGGGGGAAGAGCGUCUUGGAGGUUAAGCCCCCCCCCCCCCCCGCCCCACGCUNNNNNNNNNNNNNNNNCCUGGUUCUGGAAGGAAAUCUGCCUGGCUGCAAAACUGGCUCGUGUUUUCUGCCCCAAGGCCAAGACACUAGUCCUCAUUACUCCAGAAGGGCACUGGAGCAAAGGGGCUCAGCUUGCAUCCGGGCUUUGGAAAGUGCCUUGUUUGGCAUUCCGCCCCCCCCACAGCAUCCCCAUCUCAGCAGCAACCUGGGAGACGCUGAGCAUUGGGGGAGGGGGCCGCCAGCAGGCCUCCCCCCUCGUGGGCAGCCCAGAAUAGGUUUGCCCCACAGGCACCACUUCCCUGGCGUGGAAGGUUGGGUUGUGGGUGGGGGUGCAGCACGAGUCAUGCCUCCCGCCCCGGGGCUGAAAAGCAGGUGCCCCUUUUGGGUGGAGGGGCACAAGGAUGCCCCCCCCACGGAAGAAGCUUGUCCCUAA
This 1347-nucleotide long non-coding RNA is filed under the name Pogona vitticeps (central bearded dragon). Its description in RNAcentral is "lncRNA (ENSPVIG00000017770.1)". Lineage: Eukaryota; Metazoa; Chordata; Lepidosauria; Squamata; Agamidae. The record is from RNAcentral.